CGUCCGUCAAAGACGAUAACAACAGCGAACUGUUCGUGCUAGACCAACCACAUCCAGACGGCUCGGUCGGAAAAGAGUUCGACCUCUACGGGAGUGCUGCCGCGUUCGCCGAAGACCUGUUCCUCGACGAGGAAGCGUCACCAGAGGAACCGAAGAACACGUCCGCGCUAGAGGACAGCUAUCUGAAUGCCUUGGACGUCAUUUGAGAACCCAGCCGGAGGCUCUGCUUGGUACCAGACUGCGCCAGCGCAAGAAAACCAAUAUUGUAGGAGAAGUCGUCGAAGAAUAGUCGACCAUCUGUAUACGUAUACAUUUGCCGAAAACAUGCCAAUUAUUAUUUGUCCGUUGCAUGUGUGUGAUAGUUUCGUAAUAGUAUGCAAUGGUUUUUGCGGAUUACCGGGUGUGCAACCAGGGUGGUGGCGCCACCUGAUGGCGCAGAGUUCAACCAGACAGACACAGAACUAUUUAUUGUGUACUCCACUGCUGACAAGUUUCUGGCAGCGGCGUAAUCUAAACACCUUGUCUUUCUAAAUGUCUUUUCUUUUUUUUUUUUUUCGCAAGAACACUUAUGAAACGCAAGAACGUGUCUAUAAGGCACUGUGUUAAGACGAAGAGCCACAAGCUAUGUCGCUACUCGCGUCCGGUAACCGCUAAUGUUGAGGGCAUAGAAUGACGACUGGAAAACAGUGAGUUAUACGUUUUGAUCUGCCUUACAUCUGUAACAGGCAAAUGGUGCAACAAAAUUAGUUCCUUGGGCUGAUGUACGCGGACGACAUUGUGCUACUAGUGGACAGUGCAAGGGAUUUACAGAUACUUGCGAAUAUAUGUGACAAUGCAGCGACGAAUCUAUCGGGAAUUACAUUUAAUGAAGAAACAAGUAACGAAUUGACAUCAAUUCAACAGCAAGUCAUACCCAUAGUCAAGCAAUAUAAACAUAUAAACACCUGGGUGUGUAUACAUAAACGAAGACCUACUCAAGCAUCUACCAGAUAAUCAAAAUAUAAGGGGAAGAGGAAUUAAGCAAUAAUGAAACAUAAAAAUGAAAAUAAUUUUGGGUUACAAUAAAUACGAGGUGGUGCGAGUAAUUUGGAAAAAUGUAAUGGUGCCAGCGGAAGCAUUCGCAAAUUCGCUGUGCGGAUGCGGUCUCUAAAAAACUUUUAUUACUGCACGCAGUCAUGCUUGUUAAAGGAGCCGUCGUGUUACAGUCAAAGUUUUGAUCUUAUACCCAAUUAGUAAAAUGCGGCCAGGAAUAUAUAAUUGAUCAAGGACUAAUAUACAUCGCGCAACACGAUAAUCCGGUUUAAAAGUGCGCUACAGUGCUAUUAUGGGCGAGCAGUGACGCUCGCCCACAUGAAAGAUAAGCUAUGAAUUCAUAGUUUCUUUAGGCAAAAUAACUAACUCAGAUAUGCAAGACAUUAGGUAUAAUUAAAAGUAGAGCAUGGUGAACUCACUGGUCACCACUCAGUUAUAAACGCUCAUGGAUUCCAUCCACGCAAGCUACCCCGAAAGCAUGAUUAUCUCCUAGAAUGAAUGCAGAUUCCGACGAGAAUACGCCACAAGGAUAACGCGUGCGUUUAAAGAUUACGCUGCAUAGCGCGUUAGCACGCUGUAGCCUGCGGGCCCCGAGCCUGCGGGCCCCGAGGGAAAAUUUGCGAACAGCGUCGACGCGAUAGGUCUCCCGUAUCAACAUGCGCACGUAGUAACUCGCUGUGAAUCCUUAGGAUACGGCCACGCUAGCGGCAAAAAAUGCGCGCGUCAUGCCGCGGGCGGCAAGUUGCCGCGCGUCAGCGCUUUGCCGCGAGGCC
This is a long non-coding RNA of Dermacentor silvarum, 1805 nucleotides long. RefSeq lists it as uncharacterized. The record is from RefSeq and is a predicted model, not a curated record. NCBI's taxonomy places the organism in Eukaryota, Metazoa, Arthropoda, Arachnida, Ixodida, Ixodidae. The transcript has 4 exons.